This 423-nucleotide ribosomal RNA is filed under the name uncultured prokaryote. Its description in RNAcentral is "bacterial SSU rRNA". It matches the Rfam family "Bacterial small subunit ribosomal RNA", at positions 355 to 774 of the family's 1533-position model. The record is from RNAcentral.
UCGAGAAUAUUUAGCAAUGGACGAAAGUCUGACUAUGCGACGCCGCGUGAGGGAUGAAGUAUUUCGGUACGUAAACCUCUUUCGAUAGGGAAGAAACUAACUAUAGUAAUAUAGGAACUGACGGUACCUAGAGAAGAAGCCAUGGCCAACUCCGUGCCAGCAGCCGAGGUAAUACGGAGGGUGCGAGCGUUGUUCGGAUUUAUUGGGCGUAAAGCGCGUGUAGGCGGUCUUUUAAGUCUGAUGUGAAAGCCCUGGGCUCAACCCGGGAAGUGCAUUGGAAACUGGGAUACUUGAAUACGGGAGAGGGUAUUGGAAUUCCUAGUGUAGGAGUGAAAUCCGUAGAUAUUAGGAGGAACACCGGUGGCGAAGGCGACUUUCUGGCCCUAUACUGACGCUGAGACGCGAAAGCGUGGGUAGCAAAAA